Thunnus maccoyii (southern bluefin tuna) is the source of this 517-nucleotide long non-coding RNA. RefSeq lists it as uncharacterized. The transcript has 3 exons. The record is from RefSeq and is a predicted model, not a curated record. NCBI's taxonomy places the organism in Eukaryota, Metazoa, Chordata, Actinopteri, Scombriformes, Scombridae.
GAAAGGGGAUGAAUUCUUUGUAAGGCUGUAUAUGAAGUGUGAAGGCUCUUCUCAUCCCAGAUGUUUCGUACAAGAAGAUCUGUGUAGCAGAAUGCCAAGCAGAAAGCCAUAUAGAGGACGAAACAGUUCCUGACACAAACUCUGGUGGGUGCUCCGAAACCUUGGAUCCUCCAGCUUAAAGUGUGAAAGCUGGAAGCAGAGAAUGCAUCAAACCUCAUCCAGUACUGUCCAAGCCCAGUGUGAUCAACAAAAAUGUGAAUUUAUACAGCUAUUUCUUGUUGGUUAAUUUGUGUUUUCAGCUAUUUCUAUGGUUAUUUUUCGUGCUAACUGCAGCAUUUAGGGUUUUACUAAAGUCAUUUGAGAAAAUUAUGCUCAACAACAAACUCUACAAUAAAUGCUUUUCGUUUGUUUAUUUCAGACACAGGAAUCAAACCUGUGACUCUUUUGUUAUGGUACACAGUGACCUACUGUAAAAGGCCUUCCUCAUACUGCUUUCAAUACAUCAUUAAAGUCUGUG